AAGCUGACUGCUUUCCUGGAAGAAUUCUUUAUCCCCUUGGCCAAUUGAAAGAGCUUCAGCUCCCAUAGCAUCUGACCAUAAUUCAUAUUUUCAUUGACAUCUUCACCUGGACACAAAAAUCAGUUCAUGCCACUAAAUAAGUAUUCAGACAAUGUCCAAUUCUUCUUUCAUCUGCAUUUCCUCCCCUUCUGCCCUCCUCUGUCAACUUCUUUGAUCUAUCCCUUGCUCUCAUUGAUUCUCUCCCCUGCAGCUCUAUCUCCUUCCCAAACAUGCUGCUUCUUUCUGCCUCCUCCUUUCACUUCUGUUUGACCUCAGGCAGUCUCUUUAUCUCUCCUCAUAU
RNAcentral lists this long non-coding RNA (340 nucleotides) under Bos taurus (domestic cattle). Its description in RNAcentral is "long non-coding RNA NONBTAT011608". The record is from RNAcentral. Lineage: Eukaryota; Metazoa; Chordata; Mammalia; Artiodactyla; Bovidae.